AAGAGACAGCAGUCGCCGCGGUAAUACGGAGGAUCCAAGCGUUAUCCGGAAUCAUUGGGUUUAAAGGGUCCGUAGGCGGUCUUGUAAGUCAGUGGUGAAAGCCCAUCGCUCAACGGUGGAACGGCCAUUGAUACUGCAGGACUUGAAUUAUUGGGAAGUAACUAGAAUAUGUAGUGUAGCGGUGAAAUGCUUAGAGAUUACAUGGAAUACCAAUUGCGAAGGCAGGUUACUACCAAUUGAUUGACGCUGAUGGACGAAAGCGUGGGUAGCGAACAGGAUUAGAGACCCGCGUAGUCCCUGUCUCUUAUAC
RNAcentral lists this ribosomal RNA (310 nucleotides) under uncultured bacterium. Its description in RNAcentral is "partial 16S ribosomal RNA". It matches the Rfam family "Bacterial small subunit ribosomal RNA", at positions 503 to 807 of the family's 1533-position model. The record is from RNAcentral.